RNAcentral lists this ribosomal RNA (133 nucleotides) under uncultured bacterium. RNAcentral's name for it is "partial 16S ribosomal RNA". The record is from RNAcentral.
AAGUUAACGUCAGGGUUUAAGGUUAUUAACCUUAAACUUUUCUUCACAAUUGAAAGUGCUUUACAACCCUCAGGCCUUCUUCACACACGCGGCAUUGCUGGAUCAGGCUUGCGCCCAUUGUCCAAUAUUCCCC